Myotis brandtii (Brandt's bat) is the source of this 458-nucleotide long non-coding RNA. RefSeq lists it as uncharacterized. The transcript is spliced from 2 exons. The record is from RefSeq and is a predicted model, not a curated record. NCBI's taxonomy places the organism in Eukaryota, Metazoa, Chordata, Mammalia, Chiroptera, Vespertilionidae.
UAUUCAUUGUGGACACUGGACACAGAUAGAGAAGCCCGCCGAGUUGAAUCGGAUCCUCGUGCAGUGGCUGGAAACUGAUGCCAGGGACCCGCCAGUGGUCUCGAAGCUUUAGGGGGUGACGUGUGCCAGCCCCCUCCUCUGCUGGGCUGCUGCUCUUGGCACCAAGAUGGGCCUGACCCACGUCUCUCAGAACCAGCAGCCUGGUUCUGAAGGGUGAUUUUCUUUAAGGGAAGUGAGUAAAAUUAGGCGUAAUUUUAGAUACAGGAAAAGGCUAUUAAUUCUCUGGGCACAAAUGCAUCACUUGAUCUCUAAGGAUGAUUUGUGUUCUGUGAGGGGACAAAGGUGGUGGCCAGGGGGUGAUUUCUCUUUGACUAAUCCAUAGUUUUGCAGCAAAAUCAGCAGGUAAUUCUGAAGCCUUUCCACAGAGAUUGGAACUCUUUUGCUCAAUAAAGCUAAAC